AGAGAGAAUCGCAGCAUCUUGAUGUUUUAAAUGGCUUCAACGAGACUUUUGGAGACAUCCACAUGUAGGGGUGAGCUACACGGCUAAAUUGCCGACAGACGUGCAGAGACGACGCUGGACGGCUUUUUGUUUCGUGUCAGAGAGAUGAUUCUGAGAAGUAGUUGACCUGAGGAAGCAGCUUGAGGAGGUUUCUUAGUUCCGUCUCCCCUCUUUGUUUCUAUUGCUUUAACUGAAACGGUCCAGUUCAUGAGGCCGCCGCGUCUCGCUCCAUUUUGUGGCAGCUCAGCGCAGCGCAGAGCUGAGCUGAGCUGAGCUGAGCUGCUCCGCUCCGGGCUGCAGGACCUGCUGGGCUCAGAACUCCUAAAGUUCGCAGUAAAUCCCUGGUGAAAUGUGAAUUUUUAUGAUGGCUGAAAACUCAGAGAGCACAUCCUGUUUCCAUGAUGUCAGCGCAGGAAGUAAGAGCCACCUGCUAGCUGGGAUGCUCAUCAUUCAAGGUUGAGCCCGGCUCGCCAUCUUCCUCUGCAUCUCCUUGAUGUAAAGCCUCUGGCGGAGGCAAACCUGGUGGUUCAGGAUUCUUAGAAGCUGCUGCCAACAUUUGGUGUAAAUUGGAAAUGAAUUUUGUAGUCAUACCUCUGCUACGGCUAAACCAACCAGAACACCAGUCAUCCUGUGGGGUGACAUAGUUGUGCUCUCAUCAGGUGCUGGUGAUUGGCUCUGGAAGAAGUGUGGAACAUGUCAGGAACAGGAAUGGCAAAAAGUCUGUGUUCAAAACCUAAACAAUAUUUAAUAUUGUCAUGCAACACUUCAAAGACACAGGCUGACCAGAGGGAUGAUGACAAUCUAAUCUGGAAUGUGGUGAUCUCACAUUCUAAGAAUGAAACGCAGAGAACAGAGGAUACAUCAGCAUUAACGGGCUGUUUGUCUCCCACCCACUUCACCCCGUCUCUCCCCAACCUUUGACCUCUGCAUCUCCACCCCUCCCCCCAAGCACACAGAAAGCGCUGCUCACGUGCUCUUCUGAAGAGGGGAAGAACGAUGAAAAAAAUCAGUAAAUUAUCAUUGAAUAUGUUACAUGUAGCAAUGAAGUAUCUUUAUUCUUAACAAAUAAAAGCAACAUUUUAUCUUUGUGUUAA
Poeciliopsis prolifica (blackstripe livebearer) is the source of this 1133-nucleotide long non-coding RNA. RefSeq lists it as uncharacterized. The record is from RefSeq and is a predicted model, not a curated record. Lineage: Eukaryota; Metazoa; Chordata; Actinopteri; Cyprinodontiformes; Poeciliidae. The transcript has 4 exons.